UACAGAGGUCUCAAGCGUUGUUCGGAUUCAUUGGGCGUAAAGGGUGUGUAGGUGGCGCGCUAAGUCGGGUGUGAAAUUUCGGAGCUUAACUCCGAAACUGCAUUCGAUACUGGCGUGCUUGAGGACUGGAGAGGAGACUGGAAUUCAUGGUGUAGCAGUGAAAUGCGUAGAGAUCAUGAGGAAGACCAGUGGCGAAGGCGGGUCUCUGGACAGUUCCUGACGCUGAGGCGCGAAGGCCAGGGGAGCAAACGGG
Molecule: ribosomal RNA, 253 nt
Filed under: uncultured bacterium
Lineage: Bacteria
Description: partial 16S ribosomal RNA
Rfam family: Bacterial small subunit ribosomal RNA
Source: RNAcentral